MicroRNA precursor from Gorilla gorilla gorilla (western lowland gorilla), 57 nucleotides. The record is from Ensembl. NCBI's taxonomy places the organism in Eukaryota, Metazoa, Chordata, Mammalia, Primates, Hominidae.
CAUUGGAGGGUGUGGAAGACAUCUGGGCCAACUCUGAUCUCUUCAUCUACCCCCCAG